RNAcentral lists this ribosomal RNA (434 nucleotides) under uncultured bacterium. Its description in RNAcentral is "partial 16S ribosomal RNA". It matches the Rfam family "Bacterial small subunit ribosomal RNA", at positions 29 to 507 of the family's 1533-position model. The record is from RNAcentral.
AGCGAACGCUGGCGGCAGGCCUAACACAUGCAAGUCGAACGAACCUUUCGGGGUUAGUGGCGGACGGGUGAGUAACACGUGGGAACGUUCCCUUAGGUUCGGAAUACCUCAGGGAAACUUGUGCUAAUACCGAAUGUGCCCUUCGGGGGAAAGAUUAAUAGCCUUUAGAGCGGCCCGCGUCUGAUUAGCUAGUUGUUUGAGGUAAUGGCUCACCAAGGCGACGAUCAGUAGCUGGUCUGAGAGGAUGAUCAGCCACAUUGGGACUGAGACACGGCCCAAACUCCUACGGGAGGCAGCAGUGGGGAAUCUUGCGCAAUGGGCGAAAGCCUGACGCAGCCAUGCCGCGUGAAUGAUGAAGGUCUUAGGAUUGUAAAAUUCUUUCACCGGGGACGAUAAUGACGGUACCCGGAGAAGAAGCCCCGGCUAACUUCGUG